GUGGGGAAUAUUGGACAAUGGGCGCAAGCCUGAUCCAGCCAUACCGCGUGGGUGAAGAAGGCCUUCGGGUUGUAAAGCCCUUUUGUUGGGAAAGAAAUCCUGUCGGUUAAUACCUGGCGGGGAUGACGGUACCCAAAGAAUAAGCACCGGCUAACUUCGUGCCAGCAGCCGCGGUAAUACGAAGGGUGCAAGCGUUACUCGGAAUUACUGGGCGUAAAGCGUGCGUAGGUGGUGGUGUAAGUCCGUUGUGAAAGCCCUGGGCUCAACCUGGGAAAUGCAGUGGAUACUGGAUCACUAGAGUGUGGUAGAGGGAUGCGGAAUUUCUGGUGUAGCAGUGAAAUGCGUAGAGAUCAUAAGGAACAUCCGUGGCGAAGGCGGCAUCCUGGGCAAACACUGACACUGAGGCACGAAAGCGUGGGGAGCAAACAGGAUUAGAUACCCGUGUAGUCC
This 450-nucleotide ribosomal RNA is filed under the name uncultured bacterium. RNAcentral's name for it is "partial 16S ribosomal RNA". It matches the Rfam family "Bacterial small subunit ribosomal RNA", at positions 354 to 796 of the family's 1533-position model. The record is from RNAcentral.